AGAUUCUACAAGUGAGUUCGGGUCUACUUCUGGUUCCUCGGUGUCUCGUGUGAAGUCUGGUGACCGUCCUAUGGAUGCUCCUAUUUCUGAGGGUAUGUGUAGGAAACGAAAAGAGAUUGGAAUAUAUGAAAGUUCUAGUGUUGAUGGUGUUCGGCGCGUUCCUCCUAGUAGCGAUGGGUCUUUGAAGCGUGCCCGUUUGGACGGUAGCAAUCUGUGUCAGCCGGCCAUUCAGAAAAACGUCCCAACAUGGUUGACGCGUCGGUCGUUCCUGAGGAUGCGAAGUUGUUCUUCUCAAAGGUGGUGGAUGCUUCCGAGGCGUGUGUUGAUACUACCACUCAUAAGCUAGUUCAUGGUUUAUCGGUGCCGUUUGCCUUGGACGCUAUUUAUAGGGAUAUUGUAGAGUGCGGUGGCGGUCAUAUGAUGAAGGAGGGUCUCCUUGAUAUGCAAACUCUGUGUUACAUGAAUAAAAAUCUCCUCGAAGUAUCCGACCAACUCACGCGGGUGAAUAAUGGCCCUAUUGAUGCAAACACGUUGCGUGGUUGGGAGACUACCAUUCGUUCCACAAUUGGUCUAGGCUUCCUAAUAGGGUGGUUAGACGAGUUGCUGAUAAAGGUGAACGAUCGCAAUGACCCUAGUGCACAACUCCCAGACCAUAUUUCUCAGCUAGAAAACCAGUUGGUUCAGCAUCCAAGGCAACUUCAUACAAGAAGAUGGCGCUGAAUCAGCUUGUCGCCAACGUGGGGCAGCAACCAGUGCAACUCAGCAAGCAGAGGCUGCGGAAGAGGAGGUUCGUGUGGAUAUGGAGAAGAAAAGGAAUGAGUGGUCUGAGUUCCAUUCCACAUGAUGCAUCUUAUUUCUUUCGUUUCUUUUCUUUUAUCGUUAUUUGUUUCACGUGCCUUCCUUUCCUUGGAAAAUUUGUUGUGUAUUCGGUUGUUUGUGGAUGUUAUGUAUUUUGUCGUCAUUUUAUCUUGUGGAUUUAUGUUGGGACGGGCCUUUUGGAUGUGUUGGGUUCAUAUUUUAUGUAGGAUCUGACGCUUCAUCUCGUCUUGAUUUAUG
Papaver somniferum (opium poppy) is the source of this 1056-nucleotide long non-coding RNA. RefSeq lists it as uncharacterized. The record is from RefSeq and is a predicted model, not a curated record. The transcript has 2 exons. Lineage: Eukaryota; Viridiplantae; Streptophyta; Magnoliopsida; Ranunculales; Papaveraceae.